GAAGACGUCUGUAAACAGUGAAUUGUCGAAAUCAUCAGAAAUUUUCGAAAUCAGCAACUUUCCUUUCCUUAUAUUGUAACUAUUAGCGUCAGGAAAUUCAACUUUGUCGAUUUGUGUGUUGCAGUAAAUUCGAACCAACAUUAUACUAUGGAAACUACUAUCGUAACAAGCCAUUGGGUACAGUACGCUCGGGCAAGAAUCACGUGAUCAAUUAUAGUUGUCAUGCGCGGUAAGUCAUAUUUUUACAUUAUUCAGUCAUCAGGAUUGUGACUUAUAAUUUCGACCCCAAACAGAUCAUAUAGUUUCAAACCACUUACAGUAUGAAAUUGCGUACGAACUAGCAUAAAAUGAAUUCUAUAACAUUAUGAUUAGAAGACUGAAAACAUACAUUUUGAAACGGAACAUUUAUACUCGAAAGUAACGAAGAGAUAUUGGCAAAUCAAAUUAAACGAUUUUUAGACAGUACCAAGUAACGAUUUGCAACAGCACGUGGAGGGUAUAUUUCAUAUUAAUUUAUUGUGUAGAUGCGAUAUGUUAGCUGAUUCAGAACAAUUUAGAUGUAAAAUAUCUUUUAAAAUGAUUCAUUUUUCUCUUCUAUCAAAAAUUAUUUCUUACAAUUAUUUUCUGGAAGCACCAGUGUGUAUAAAACUGAAAUUGUUCACAAACAAGUUUCGUUUAUUGUUACGGCACGUAUGUGGGUUCCCCGAAGGAAGAUCUCCUUUCGUGAUUAUCCGUGUGUAUCGGAAAGAUAAGUUUUGUUUACCGGCUAAUUGCCCAAGUACCCUUUUUCUAAUACUUCAAAUCUAGAUGCCCCUGUGCGUUUGGGGGGCCUGUGCUUUUUGAAGCGGAAAUGAUCUUUUCUAACUUUCGGGCAGUAAGUGAGAACAGAUAAACCAAUGAGGUUACGCGUUUCGGAUUUAGAGUUAACAAUGAAAUUAUUUUAAAAAAACGCACCUCCUUUUGUAGGAGAAUGUCUUCUCGGUAUGGAGCAAUGUAUACAUACAUAGAUUUAUGAAUUGGGUGGAUAAUUUCAAUUCCAAUGGCCCCAAUUAUUAUUAAAUUAAACGACGGUAGUAAGUUUUUGCUCUAGUAAAGUUAUGUUUAUCCAGCAUAUCUAGGCAUUCUGUACGUUUUGUAGUUGGCCAUAUUGAACAUCUGAUAGCGUUUAAGCUAACUUUAUCAAAAAGUUAUAAUUUCUGAGAUGUUUUUAGCUAAAAACGAGUUAGGUCUUGUUUUUUGUUCACGAUGCUUGUUCAGAAUUUCAUUGAGAGUUGAUAAUCAUGGCUGCUACGGCGGCUCAU
Long non-coding RNA from Anopheles coustani, 1301 nucleotides. RefSeq lists it as uncharacterized. The record is from RefSeq and is a predicted model, not a curated record. The transcript has 4 exons. NCBI's taxonomy places the organism in Eukaryota, Metazoa, Arthropoda, Insecta, Diptera, Culicidae.